This 319-nucleotide ribosomal RNA is filed under the name uncultured eukaryote. Its description in RNAcentral is "partial 18S ribosomal RNA". It matches the Rfam family "Eukaryotic small subunit ribosomal RNA", at positions 1470 to 1796 of the family's 1831-position model. The record is from RNAcentral.
CCCUUAGAUGUUCUGGGCAGCACGCGCGCUACAAUGGUCUUCGCAAACGGAUGCAUUCUCGAAGGAGAAUGCCAAUCUUGGAAUCUAUGCCUUGGUCGGGACAGUUGCUUGCAAUUUUUCGACUCGAACCAGGAAUUCCUUGUAAUCGUGAUUCAUCACAUCACGAUGAAUACGUCCCUGCCCUUUGUAUACACCGCCCGUCGCUCCUACCGAUCGAAGAGUUAGGUGAAUUGUUUUGAUCGAUAAGAUUUGACUAUGGUCAACUCUCGUUGUGAAAUUCUGUGAAUCUGACUGUUUAGAGGAAGGAAAAGUCGUAACA